UACGGAAGGGGCAAGCGUUGUUCGGAAUCAUUGGGCGUAAAGGGCGCGUAGGUGGUUUGAUAAGGGUGUGGUGAAAGUCCGGGGCUCAACCCCGGAUCUGCCGUGCCGACUGUCAAACUCGAGGGUUGUAGAGGCAGACGGAAUUCCGGGUGUAGCGGUGGAAUGCGUAGAGAUCCGGAGGAAGACCGGUGGCGAAGGCG
Molecule: ribosomal RNA, 200 nt
Filed under: uncultured prokaryote
Description: partial 16S ribosomal RNA
Rfam family: Bacterial small subunit ribosomal RNA
Source: RNAcentral